This 266-nucleotide long non-coding RNA is filed under the name Phoenix dactylifera (date palm). RNAcentral's name for it is "long non-coding RNA (PDAC_LNC010195)". The record is from RNAcentral. Lineage: Eukaryota; Viridiplantae; Streptophyta; Magnoliopsida; Arecales; Arecaceae.
GGGUUUGAGAGGCGUGGAGUUGGGUGAUGCAAGAUGAAUGGCUGAGAUGGGAUGAGGCUUUGGGAUCCGUGCAACUAAGAUGGUAUGCUUUGAGAUCUGAGAAAUAAAUAAUUGAAGGGAUUUUAUUGUUUUUGAGAUUAAAAUUGGAUCAUGUGGAAAAAGAGUUGGAACGAGUGGGAAGAAAAUUAGGUGACUGAAUCAGAGGGUCUUGAUUUGCGGGGUGCAUGCGAUUUGGGUUCAGAGAUCAUCCUAAAUCAAUUCGACUU